RNAcentral lists this long non-coding RNA (455 nucleotides) under Populus tremula. RNAcentral describes it as "long non-coding RNA (PTRE_LNC002371)". Lineage: Eukaryota; Viridiplantae; Streptophyta; Magnoliopsida; Malpighiales; Salicaceae. The record is from RNAcentral.
UCCGGUAUUUGGAAUACUUAUCACCUCUAAUCGACCUGCAUGAAAGAAAAUCCCACGGAAUAUUUUCUUUUCUUUUCUUUCAAGUCCCGUGGAAUACGUUUUGAUUUCCAAAUUUGAACCUCGCAUUUGGAAAGGUGUUAAUAAGGUGGCCAUAAGGAUUUUGUGAGUGGAAGACGUCGUCUCCACAGUCACACAGAGCCUUUAGAGAACAUGUGAUUGCUAACGCCGGAGCUCUUACUUACGGGUCGCAAAUGAAGAGAUUGCAUAAUUAAGCAGGCGAAGUGCAAACCACUUUUCUUGAGAGAGAGAGAGAGCAAUUGGCCAAAAACAUAACACUUACUGAUGCCUGAAUCUGCUUCUGGCAAACAGAAGGAUCUUCAGUGAUCUAGUUUCCCAGCUAUAAGCACACAGGGAUGUGAGGAGUAGAUACCUACAGGCUACAGGGUAGACUUUAG